UGGGGGAUAUUGCACAAUGGGCGAAAGCCUGAUGCAGCGACGCCGCGUGGGGGAUGAAGGCCUUCGGGUUGUAAACUUCUUUUGCUCUGAACAAGGCAUGCCUUUGGGGUGUGUUGAGUGUAGGGGUUGAUUAGCGCCGGCUAACUACGUGCCAGCAGCCACGGUAAUACGUAGGGCGCGAGCGUUGUCCGGAAUUAUUGGGCGUAAAGGGCUUGUAGGUGGCUGGUUGCGUCUGUCGUGAAAGCUCAUGGCUUAACUGUGGGUUUGCGGUGGGUACGGGCUGGCUUGAGUGCAGUAGGGGAGGCUGGAAUUCCUGGUGUAGCGGUGGAAUGCGCAGAUAUCAGGAGGAAUACCGGUGGCGAAGGCGGGUCUCUGGGCUGUUACUGACGCUGAGGAGCGAAAGCGUGGGGAGCGAACAGG
Molecule: ribosomal RNA, 420 nt
Filed under: Fusobacteriota bacterium
Lineage: Bacteria; Fusobacteriati; Fusobacteriota
Description: Fusobacteria bacterium partial 16S ribosomal RNA
Rfam family: Bacterial small subunit ribosomal RNA
Source: RNAcentral